This is a ribosomal RNA of Cryptotermes secundus, 118 nucleotides long. Lineage: Eukaryota; Metazoa; Arthropoda; Insecta; Blattodea; Kalotermitidae. The record is from RefSeq and is a predicted model, not a curated record.
ACCAACGGUCAUACCAUGUUGAAAACACCAGUUCUCGUCCGAUCACGAAGUUAAGCAACAUUGGGCAUGGUUAGUACUUGGAUGGGGGACCGCUUGGGAACACCACGUGCUGUUGGUA